AAAGAAAUAUUUUAAAAAAGCUUCUAACUUUUAUUUAAGCACUAAUUAUGUUUAU
This 55-nucleotide transfer RNA is filed under the name Cautires sp. UPOL A00112. RNAcentral's name for it is "partial tRNA-Ser". The record is from RNAcentral. Lineage: Eukaryota; Metazoa; Arthropoda; Insecta; Coleoptera; Lycidae.